UUUUUUUUUUCUCCAAUGCUCGUCGCCAGCAAGCAGUUGAGUAUCGGUCGAUCUCACAGUUGGGACACCCUGGGGGGGAAUGAGGGUCAGUGGGCCGGGGGAGAAAGCGUGUAUGACCAACAAGGCAGGAUAGCGGGUCGACGAAACUCGCUGUCUUACGGGGCAGAGGGAGGAGGUUACUAUGAGACUCCCCCUGGGAUGCGUCCUCCGGACCUGGAUCUGAAACGAGACCCCUACUCCUACCAAGACUCUCUGUACAGUCAGCAAGGCUACACUACCGAUCCCCGGGGAAUGAGAAAGGGCUCAGUCCCUGAGCUAAACAACUACGACCGUCCACCCAUGGCUAAUAGUCACCGAGGAUUCAUCGCCUCCCAGGACUAUUAUCCCCAUGACCCUGCUAUGGCUCCCCGACCACCAGAGGACCCCCGGGGCUUCUACCGGGUGGAGCAUCAGACUCAGGAGCAGCCUCACCCGCUCAGCAGAUCCCCGUCCCACUACGGGAUGAACCCAGUGGGACGCCCACCAUGGGACCAGGGACAGGGAGGGAGGCCCUUACCUCCGGGUCCUUCGUCUUUUUCUCCUCUUCCUCCUCGCCCUCUUCCGCCAACUGCCCAUUGCAUUAACCAGGUUUACAAUCAGCCUGCAGCUGUAGCUGCAACCGCCACUGCCAAUAUGAUGCCAGAUGGCCAAAGCUCUCCUGCUCACUAUGGAAUGGAACAACCCUCUUCACCUCGUUACACUUCUGAGCCAACCCCUCUAGCCGGCCAGACAGUCUAUACCGACAUCAACGGCCAUCCCGUGGACCCUCGGCAGCAGCCUGCAGCCACCUGCCUGGUGGUGGACCCUAACACUCAGGGGCUGGAUGGGAGCAUACAGCAGCGAGGUAUGAUGAUAAGGCAGGAGUGCACAUUGCCCUACAGCGUUCAACAACAACAAGCUCCGCAGCCCAACAUGCAGGUCUACAACCCCAACCCUCCUGUCGCCGCCCAUGUUCCUGCACCUGUUCCUGCCCCUCUUCCUAUCCCACCUGCCCCUGUAGCCCUCCCCCCUCCACCUCCCACAGCCCACCAGACGCCUGCAGCUCCAGUGGAUCACAAGAGGAACGCCGACCCAGAGUUCCUGGCUCUUCUUCGAAACGAGGGUCUCUCAGAGAGUACCAUCUCCUCACUCAUCCAGCAGGGCUUUGACACAACCGGCAUGCUGGCAGUCAUGGAGGAGAAUGACGUACGUUCAGUGGCUCCCAACCUAGGGCAGGCGCGGGUGCUGUCACGGGUGGCCAUCAGCGUCAAGAGGCCCUUAGAGCCCCCUCCCACGCCCCAGCAACAGGCCCACAUGCGGGGCCGCUCCAACAGCUUCAGCCACCGCUCUGACAUGUACCUCCAGCAGCAGCAGCAGGCCAUGGGCAUGGACCCCCGGCUGAUGCCACCACAGACCCCUGGUACCAUGCAGACCAUCUCCCCCACCAUGGCUGAGGCCUUGGCCAGGAGGCCCAACAGUGCUCCCUCUCAGCAACUUCUGGAAAAUACACAGGGCUACCCAGGACCUCGUACCCCAGGGACCUACAAUGGUGCCAUGGUCCCUGUCCAGUCCCGGCCCAUGUCUGCAUUCUCCCAACACCCGGGUGUCCCCAUGACGCCGGGCAUGCAGAUGAUGGGUGCCAUGCCCCAGCAGAUGCAAGCCAUGCAACAACAGCAAAUGCCAGUGUGCAUGCCUGCCCAGCCGUCACCUCAGCAGGCCCCAAGGGCAUACUCCACCAACUACACAGUGCCCAUGGAGCUGAUGAAACGGGACCGCAGCCUGCAACCCGUGCACAGCGCCCACCCCAGCCCUCAGAUGAUACGCAAGGCUGGGGGCACCCCGUCCGAUGGAGCCAUGAUGCCAGUGGGUACCAGCAUGCAGAACCAGAGUGCUAUGGCCACCAACCAGAAGCUUAGCCGCCGUACUGGCCCACCUGUCAUCGUCUCCACCAUGGCAUCACCAGAUACAAGUAUCCGACCCCAGAUCAUGAAUGGGCCCAUGCACCCUCGCCCCCUAGUGGCCCUGUUGGAUGGACGUGACUGUACAGUCGAGAUGCCCAUCCUCAAAGACCUGGCCACAGUCGCCUUCUGUGAUGCCCAGUCCACACAGGAGAUCCAUGAGAAGGUGCUGAACGAGGCAGUAGGGGCCAUGAUGUACCACACCAUCACCUUGACCAGAGAAGACCUGGAGAAAUUCAAGGCUCUACGCAUUAUCAUCCGCAUCGGCAGCGGCUACGACAACAUCGACAUCAAGGCAGCCGGAGAGAUGGGCAUCGCGGUGUGUAACAUCCCAUCGGCGGCGGUGGAGGAGACAGCAGACUCCACUCUGUGCCACAUUCUCAACCUGUACCGGCGGAACACAUGGCUGUACCAGGCGCUCCGGGAGGGCACACGGGUCCAGAGCGUGGAGCAGAUCAGAGAGGUGGCAUCCGGAGCCGCCAGGAUCCGAGGAGAAACGCUGGGCCUCAUUGGCUUUGGUCGUUCAGGGCAGGCGGUGGCAGUGCGGGCCAAGGUGUUUGGCUUCAACGUGAUCUUUUACGACCCGUACCUGCAGGACGGUCUGGAGCGUUCGCUGGGUGUUCAGCGUGUCUAUACCCUGCAGGACUUGCUCUACCAGAGUGACUGUGUCUCCCUGCACUGCAACCUGAAUGAACACAACCACCACCUCAUCAACGACUUCACCAUCAAACAGAUGCGCCAGGGUGCGUUUCUGGUUAACUCUGCGCGGGGAGGUCUGGUGGAUGAGAAGGCCUUAGCUCAGGCCCUGAAAGAGGGCAGGAUACGGGGAGCUGCCCUGGAUGUCCAUGAGUCAGAACCCUUCAGUUUUACCCAGGGUCCUCUGAAGGAUGCUCCUAACCUGAUCUGUACUCCUCACACGGCCUGGUACAGUGAACAGGCCUCGCUGGAGAUGAGAGAGGCAGCCGCCACAGAGAUACGCAGAGCCGUCACUGGCCGUAUUCCCGACAGUUUACGAAACUGUGUCAACAAAGAGUUCUUUGUUACCACGGCUCCUUGGACAGUGGAACAGCAGCAAAUGCACCCCGAACUCAACGGUGCCGCGUACAGCCGAGUCAACCAAACCAUGGUACAGGCCAUAGGAACGGGGGGAAUGCAAGACAAAUUAUAUACCUAAUAGAGAACCAGUUUCCCAAGAACAACAGAUGAGGUCUUGUGGUCGUUUUGAAUCCUGAAUUGACAUGUACCCCCCUGGUGUGGCCUCUGGUGGGAUCCAUGGGCCAAUGGAGGGGAUGGUGCCUGGGGGGGUGACAAUCGCCCACACCCUGCCCUCCGGUACCCACCCCUCCCAGGCCCCGUCCCCCAACCAACCCUACAAAAACGGGGAGCCCAUGAGAGAGCACAUGACCGAGCCAUAACUCUGCAUCCAGAGACAAAGGAGUUCAUAUAUACACAACUGACCCACCCACUCAUCGACCAGCAGACUGAUCGUUAGGGUUCACACAACACCGGAACCAAGUGGGGACAGUGAAUAUAUUCACAACUGCUUCUCCAAAGUGGGGACCGUCAAAACUCAUGUUCCAAGGAUCCUCUUCUUUUAAUUUUUUUUUAUUCCUGCUUUCUGGGACACGUUGUUACCGCAUGCCAGAGUUAAGGCCCGUCCACCUUGACUGACCCACCAAUAAGAGAGCUUGGAAGGACAAUGACAUCAUCUGUUACUUGCCUUCCUCUAACUCCACCCUGCCCCAUUCCAUCAUUUCAGUUCACGUGUGUCUAUUUGUCUUUCCUCUGUUCUGAGACCACCCUACAAAUGAAUAUGUCUUUCUCUUCUUCAAUGUGAAAAAAGAAAUUAAGAAAUGACAUAGUUGUCAGACAAGUAGAAAAAGACAAUUGGUGUUACCAAUGCCAUCAGCAGUCUCAAUGGGGACCUCUAAACCCUGUCCUAGUCCAUCCCUCACCCUGUAGGUUGCUGGUUCCUGAAUGUACAGAAAGGAUUUGAUGGACACACCAGGGUUGCCAGAUCUCUUGAGUCUCAUGACCAGUACGAGAACAAUAAGCCCAAAUUUAAGUGAAUAUGGGACCUGAAACCGUUUGAAUUUGUCCAUUGUGAACAUCUCUCAACCCCUGAGAACACCCAAUAUAUUAUAGAGAAAAUGUUGAUCUGGUAAACUCCUUUUAGACAUCUAGUAUCUCUGAAGAGCUUCUUCAAAGCUCCAGGUUCUGACGCACAAGGAUUGAGAGACUUGCUGUAAAGGUCAUUAUCGCAAUCUUAAGACAAUGUAAACUUUUAACUGUUGAUUCAUUGACUUUCAUUCCAACUCCGGAUUCAGUAAUCAUGUGGUGGUCUAUCACUAAAAUAUUGAAAUAAGAAAUGCAUGCAAAAGCCAUUCUAACUGUUAAAAGCACCUGCUUUUACAUGGACCUCCACAUCAUGGAUUUGGACAUUGUCACAGGUGUUUGUAUGCUAGAGGGCUCUCUUAAAAUGUCCAUUUUUUUUUCUCUCACCAAAAGGACCUACACAGUAGCACCAGCCAGACAGGAAAGGGUUUGGAAAUUGAGGUUACUGACUCAGGAAAAAUAACUUUUGCAGAUAUAAUCUUUUUCCCCAAAUUGUCUGAAAGAAAAAAAGUCUGGAUCGUUCUGCGUGUUUCCACCUUUUCUUCAUUGUGGUAUUUUUAUAAAUCAAACCUCUGUUUUUUGGUGUUCAAGGUUUUUGCAGAGUCCUGUUAGAUUUGUAUUGCCUAGUUAAAUGUUCUUAUAAUCAUAGUCUUAUGUGAACCACCCCCCCCCCCUCCCCUGUUCUUAUAAUGAAAGCCAGUUGGAGCUCUUGGAGGCAUCGUGCACUCUGUGAGCAACAUCCCUAGUGCCCUGACUUUAGCAAGACAAGGCUACUAACAUAUUGUUUGGUUUUUAGUGUGAGUAUUUGUACAAGGUGAUCUAUAAAAUUCAGUGCAGUUCAAAUAAAAACAAUGCUGUUCUA
Oncorhynchus keta (chum salmon) is the source of this 4953-nucleotide RNA transcript. It is a transcript of the gene named trithorax group protein osa-like, with no coding region annotated. The record is from RefSeq and is a predicted model, not a curated record. The transcript is spliced from 11 exons. NCBI's taxonomy places the organism in Eukaryota, Metazoa, Chordata, Actinopteri, Salmoniformes, Salmonidae.